GAUGAACGCUGGCGGCGUGCCUAAUACAUGCAAGUCGAGCGAACAGACGAGGAGCUUGCUCCUUUGACGUUAGCGGCGGACGGGUGAGUAACACGUGGGUAACCUACCUAUAAGACUGGGAUAACUUCGGGAAACCGGAGCUAAUACCGGAUAAUAUUUCGAACCGCAUGGUUCGAUAGUGAAAGAUGGCUUUGCUAUCACUUAUAGAUGGACCUGCGCCGUAUUAGCUAGUUGGUAAGGUAACGGCUUACCAAGGCAACCAUACGUAGCCGACCUGAGAGGGUGAUCGGCCACACUGGAACUGAGACACGGUCCAGACUCCUACGGGAGGCAGCAGUAGGGAAUCUUCCGCAAAGGGCGAAAGCCUGACGGAGCAACGCCGCGUGAGUGAUGAAGGUCUUCGGAUCGUAAAACUCUGUUAUUAGGGAAGAACAAACGUGUAAGUAACUGUGCACGUCUUGACGGUACCUAAUCAGAAAGCCACGGCUAACUACGUG
Molecule: ribosomal RNA, 497 nt
Filed under: uncultured bacterium
Lineage: Bacteria
Description: partial 16S ribosomal RNA
Rfam family: Bacterial small subunit ribosomal RNA
Source: RNAcentral